GACGAACGCUGGCGGCGUGCUUACACAUGCAAGUCGAACGGUAAGGCUCCAGCUUGCUGGGGUACACGAGUGGCGAACGGGUGAGUAACACGUGGGUGACCUGCCCUGCACUUCGGGAUAAGCCUGGGAAACUGGGUCUAAUACCGGAUAGGACCGCACCGUGAGGGUGUGGUGGAAAGUUUUUUCGGUGUGGGAUGGGCCCGCGGCCUAUCAGCUUGUUGGUGGGGUAAUGGCCUACCAAGGCGGCGACGGGUAGCCGGCCUGAGAGGGUGGACGGCCACAUUGGGACUGAGACACGGCCCAGACUCCUACGGGAGGCAGCAGUGGGGAAUAUUGCACAAUGGGCGGAAGCCUGAUGCAGCGACGCCGCGUGGGGGAUGACGGCCUUCGGGUUGUAAACUCCUUUCACCAUCGACGAAGGGUUUCUGACGGUAGAUGGAGAAGAAGCACCGGCUAACUACGUGCCAGCAGCCGCGGUAAUACGUAGGGUGCGAGCGUUGUCCGGAAUUACUGGGCGUAAAGAGCUCGUAGGUGGUUUGUCGCGUCGUCUGUGAAAUUCCGGGGCUUAACUCCGGGCGUGCAGGCGAUACGGGCAUAACUUGAGUACUGUAGGGGAGACUGGAAUUCCUGGUGUAGCGGUGAACUGCGCAGAUAUCAGGAGGAACACCGGUGGCGAAGGCGGGUCUCUGGGCAGUAACUGACGCUGAGGAGCGAAAGCAUGGGGAGCGAACAGGAUUAGAUACCCUGGUAGUCCAUGCCGUAAACGGUGGGCGCUAGGUGUGGGUUUCCUUCCACGGGAUCCGUGCCGUAGCUAACGCAUUAAGCGCCCCGCCUGGGGAGUACGGCCGCAAGGCUAAAACUCAAAGGAAUUGACGGGGGCCCGCACAAGCGGCGGAGCAUGUGGAUUAAUUCGAUGCAACGCGAAGAACCUUACCUGGGCUUGACAUAUACAGGAUCGCGCCAGAGAUGGUGUUUCCCUUGUGGCUUGUAUACAGGUGGUGCAUGGUUGUCGUCAGCUCGUGUCGUGAGAUGUUGGGUUAAGUCCCGCAACGAGCGCAACCCUUGUCUUAUGUUGCCAGCACGUUGUGGUGGGGACUCGUAAGAAACUGCCGGGGUUAACUCGGAGGAAGGUGGGGAUGACGUCAAACCAUCAUGCCCCUUAUGUCCAGGGCUUCACACAUGCUACAAUGGUCGGUACAGUGGGUUGCCAGUCCGUGAGGGCGAGCUAAUCCCGCAAAGCCGGUCUCAGUUCGGAUCGGGGUCUGCAACUCGACCCCGUGAAGUCGGAGUCGCUAGUAAUCGCAGAUCAGCAACGCUGCGGUGAAUACGUUCCCGGGCCU
This 1340-nucleotide ribosomal RNA is filed under the name uncultured bacterium. RNAcentral describes it as "partial 16S ribosomal RNA". It matches the Rfam family "Bacterial small subunit ribosomal RNA", at positions 28 to 1381 of the family's 1533-position model. The record is from RNAcentral.